AAAGAAGAAGACCGACAUGAAUACUUGACUCCUGUAGCUUCUGGUAUCCUCAUCCUCCCAGAUCCUGACAUUAGGCUGAACAUCUGUGCUGGAUUUAGAGGUGGUGUAUUCUCACCUUUUAAGUAAUGGAUAUUUUAGUGAAAAGGUGGUAUCAGGGCCUGCUGUCUAGAUGCCAUUUUUAGGAAGAAGUGUCAGAAAGUUUUUAAGACUGCAAGGAAAGAGAACACUCUCAGGGGGUUGAUACCAACAGGGGUGGAAGUCAAAAUGAGGACAAAGUGAGGCCCUGAGCGUCAGAGAUCAAGGCCAAGAGGGCAUAGCAGAGGGAAUCCAGUUCCAGACAGGCUUGCAGUGCUAUGGAGAUAUAAAGUUCAAGAACACAACAUGCGUGCUUUCGAGGAGCGUAUCAUUAUUCAGGAAGUCAAGACACCAGUGAAUGAAAAGAAAACUCACUUUCUGCAAUAGCGCAAAAGAGCAGUGAAGAUGGUGCUCAGAUGAACUGUAAGUGUUCAGAUGAGGGAAACCAUGGAAGACAUCAUGGAGGAGAUUUCUUCUGUUCCUGGUAGAAUUGUGAGAUGCUGCAUCUGCGUUCCAGCUUUCAAGAAU
Molecule: long non-coding RNA, 603 nt
Organism: Homo sapiens (human)
Lineage: Eukaryota; Metazoa; Chordata; Mammalia; Primates; Hominidae
Source: Ensembl